AAGGCUUGACCUCAAAUCAG
This 20-nucleotide ribosomal RNA is filed under the name Pisolithus tinctorius. Its description in RNAcentral is "partial 28S ribosomal RNA". Lineage: Eukaryota; Fungi; Basidiomycota; Agaricomycetes; Boletales; Pisolithaceae. The record is from RNAcentral.